AGCUUCUUUAUCAGGGUAGUCAGGGAUUUCGAGAAGUACCUCUGUGAACUCUUUGACGUACUACCGGAUGGUUCCUUUGUGCUGCAAACGCCUUAGCUUGCCACGUUGCUUGGGUAGAACUGCUUCUUAGGUUCUGCCUUGAAAUUUGCCCAAGUCUUGAUAGAGCAGGUGCCUUUCUCUAUGUCGCUUUGUCUUCUCCUCCACCAAACCAUUGCGGUGUCCUCGAGGAAAAGACUACCCAUGCUUACCUUUAGAGCCUCGUCUUGCAUGUCGAGAGCCCUAAAGUAUUGCUCCAUGCUCUAAACAAAGUUGUCUAGUUCGCUCGCAUUUCUAGACCCUUUGAAGUAUUUGGGUCGUGGAACAUCUAUUUUGGAAGGGGUAGUCCUUACCUCGGACGUAGUGGCAGUGCCUUGUGCAAGAGACCCCCUCGAACCUUUGGUCGGCCUCCAUGAACUUGUCCUGCCCAUCGGCAAUGGCCAACUUCACCUUGGCCAGCCUUGUCUCCAACUCCCCCAUGGCGUCCCUGGAGCGAGACCUUUGGCCCUUAGAUUUGUCCCUUUCGGUUUGGGUGAUUUGACUGCCGCCUUCCAUACUCCCUUAGAUGUUCCAACGAACCUGGCGCUCUGAUACCAAUUGUGACAAGACCGUAACUCAAACACGACGAUCUGUCCGGCCUAGCGAANNNN
Molecule: long non-coding RNA, 686 nt
Filed under: Nicotiana benthamiana
Lineage: Eukaryota; Viridiplantae; Streptophyta; Magnoliopsida; Solanales; Solanaceae
Description: long non-coding RNA (NBEN_LNC028957)
Source: RNAcentral